CCUACGGGAGGCAGCAGUGAGGAAUAUUGGUCAAUGGGCGGAAGCCUGAACCAGCCAAGUAGCGUGCGGGAUGAAGGCCCUACGGGUCGUAAACCGCUUUUUCACGGGGAUAACACCCUCCACUUGUGGAGGUCUGCAGGUACCGUGCGAAUAAGGGCCGGCUAAUUCCGUGCCAGCAGCCGCGGGAAUACGGAAGGCCCGGUCGUUAUCCGGAUUCAUUGGGCUUAAGGGGAGCGUAGGCGGACGUGUAAGUCAGCGGUAAAAUCGCGCGGCUCAACCGCGCCCCGCAUUUGAAACUGGACACCUUGAGUGCAAAACAGGCGGGCGGAAGUCGAGGUGUAGCGGUGAAAUGCAUAGAUAUCACGAGGAACCCCGAUUGCGAAGGCAGCCUGCCGGGGUGCGACUGACGCUGAGGCUCGAAGGUGCGGGUAUCAAACAGGAUUAGAUACCCGUGUAGUC
This 459-nucleotide ribosomal RNA is filed under the name uncultured bacterium. Its description in RNAcentral is "partial 16S ribosomal RNA". It matches the Rfam family "Bacterial small subunit ribosomal RNA", at positions 338 to 795 of the family's 1533-position model. The record is from RNAcentral.